GUUUUAUAGCCGCUCAGCCAAUAUGGUGGAUAUGACCCUCAGCUUUUAACGGAGUGGGCUCGGGUUCGAAUCCCGAAUAAGACA
Trichonephila inaurata madagascariensis is the source of this 84-nucleotide non-coding RNA. NCBI's taxonomy places the organism in Eukaryota, Metazoa, Arthropoda, Arachnida, Araneae, Nephilidae. The record is from the annotation of a GenBank genome assembly.